GCUUACACCGGAAAUCACAGAAGAUACCGCGCUUUGUGCUGGAAAAGCUGCCGUGUUCGAAGAUAAAGCGUUGUACAAUGUUCAGAAGAAAGGCGGUCACUUCCUUCACUUUGUGUUAAAACGUUUGAAGACUUCCUUCGCAAACACGCAUGCAUCAAAUCAAGUUUAUUUCGUGGAAGGAAGUGGACUCAACGCCAUGCUACAAGCCAAAGUGAUCGCGCACCUGUCUGCCAUGAUGUGAUUUCGUUUCGGGGAGUGACCUAGAUUUGAAGAUCGACAUAAUAUUACUCGCUGCUAAGAGAUCUGUGAUUGCUGUAAGUUCGCUGUGUUUUAAUAUACUGCAGGGAAGUUGUUUGUAUACUACAACAAUGUUUAUUGAAACAUUAGAGUUCACAAUCCCAGUGGAUCUGUGUGAUCUAUUUUCUACUCUGAAAAGGGGGCCAAGAUCUAAUCUUGAAUUCCCGGCAUCCGUGAACUCAUACGGUACAACGCAAGAUGCGAGUGUACAGGUGGUGUUACGCUCAAACAAAUUGACGUUUAAAGUCGACGGUGUGUCGUCUGAUGCAAGCAUUAUAUCAAAAAGUGAAAGCAAAACAUUAAAAUUGUCAGUGUUUGAUGUAGAUCGGACUUUGAUGCCACAAGAAAAUGACAAUUACAUUUCCAACAAUAUGACAAUUUCCGAAAUACAGCAUUCAACACCUGUGUCCAAUCAGUUCAAAAGGCAUCAUGAAGUAUCAGUGUCACAACCACAUGCUAAAAGCAGAAGGACUUCUUUUUCUGAGUCUCCAAGACCCAAGUCUCCUUUUCAUCGUCGCUUACAUCCUCAUACAAGUCCACGUCAAUCUCCAAGCAUUCAAUCAAAAUCUCAAAAUGACACUCCAGUUAAUGUGAAACAAGAACCAGAAGAUCCAGAUUUAAUAGAAAUAGAACCUGACGACAUUGUGCCAAAGAAAGAGACUCCAUACAUGCAAAUAGAUUAUUCAUCCGAUGUACCUCAUACGCAAACGUCCCAAGCAGCUCUAGAACGACUCUCUCAUCCACAAUCAUCACAUUCUCAAUCACCCGGUUCUUCAUCAUCGUCCUUCCAUCAAAAUGUUCCACAUGUGCCAGAUUACGCCGAACCCAGUACUAGUCAAGCAAGAUAUGGUGACCAAAGUGCAGAUGACUUUUUAGUAUUCCAAGAUGAAAACGACGACGGCGAUGAAAACGAAGCAGAUUACAGUAAUGACGAUGGUCAUGGUUUGUCAAGUUCAUUUGGACCUCAGCUGUUCAAUUUCCAACUGGCUAAUUAUUCCCACAGGGAAAUGUUAGGCCAGCCCAGGCUCCGAGAACCUCCCUCUGCAAGCUUUCCAUGUCCGCACUGUGACAAAGUGUUUUCUGGGACAAGUGCGCGUCGUAAUCACAUUGAAGCCAUUCAUAAGAAAAUUUGCCAUCAGUGUGUCUGUGGGAAGUCCUAUAAGUACAUUCAAAGCUAUCUUCGACACAAGAAACAUUGUCAGAUAUUUGCUCUGACUUGAAAUGUCCUGGAACUGGGAUAUCCUAUCUUGGAAAAGAUUUAGAUCCUGAUCUGGAAUUGUAUUUUGUUUCUCAGGAUUUUUUGUUUUGUUUUUGUAAUGCUGAUCUAUAGUACAGCAGUCUCUUAUGCUGCGUGUAGCCCUUAAAAAUGUUGAAAUGGGGACAAUGUCCAUUUGAAAGACCGUGGAAGUCAAUACAGAAGGGGCAGAUUAUCAUGGUUUGGACAGCAUUUGUGGAUAUGGCCAAUCUAGCCAUUGUCUGGAAGAGGUUCAUGGACUUAAGUUCCAGGAUCAUCAGUUGUCCAACUUGGCUUCCAAAGAUAACUUGUUCCAUGUAACACAUAAUCGUGAUGAAAUGACAACUGGCUUUCCAUGUUCCGUGUGUAGCAAAGUGUUUUCUAGUAACGGGGCCCGGUGGAAUCAUGUGUCGUCUGUCCACAAUAAGGUUCAAUUCUCCUGUGUGUGUGGCAAGGUCUAUCAGUAUUGUCAAGGCCUCAGCAGACAUAAGAAGACAUGUCCCAUGUUGACAGCUACGUCAAGUACUCACCUUGACCUUCCAAAGGAUUGACUCUGACAGCAGUCACCUUGAACUAUGCCAAGAGUCAUAUUGCUAGCAGGGCAGUGGGGUAGCCUAGUGGUUAAAGCAUUCACUCAUUAUGCCGAACGAACGGGUUUGAUUACCCACAUGGGUACAAUGUGUGAAGUCCAUUUCUGGUGUCCCCAGCCGUGAUAUUGCUGGAAUAUUGCUAAAAGCGGUGGAAAACCCAACUCACUCACUCAUUCAUAUUGGUAGCAGUCACCUUGACUUAUAUUGUCAGUAAUCACCUUCACCAAUUUUUCUGGAAGACACUUUCACCUGCUCCAGGAUUGACACUGUCAGUAGUCACUUUGACCUAGCACCAAUUGUAACCAGCAAUCACCUCGAGUGCACAAAGAUAUUUGUUGACAGUAGUCAUCUGAUGUAGCUUUGGUGUUGUUGGCAUCAUCUGGACUAAGAUCUUGGAGAAUUAAAAAGUCAGGAUAAAACUUCCUUUGUGUUGUUCAUAUCAAAAUAUUUUUGUGGGAGUUUUUGUGUUUCGGUUCAUAAAGUUAUUCAGAAGGUUUUGAUCAGACAUUCCAAGAUUGGCAAUGUUUGGGUUCCGAUCUUGUGCAAUAUUUUAUUGAGCUGUCAGGAUGUAGGAAGCCAUUUGUGCUGACUGGUUCUUAUGUUGAAAUUAUGCCAAGUUAGUAUGUAACUUUAGUUAAUGUUAAUAGAAGGGUAGCACCGUGGGUACAGUGUUUGCUGGUCACACUUGAGGUUUGAUUCGUCACAUGUGAGUCUAUUUCUGUUCCCCACUGUGGUAUUGAUGCUAUAUUGUCAAAAUGUGGUGUAAAGCUAUAAUCAGUAAAUUAGGAAUCUUGUCAGGACCCUGUUUCUGUUCCGUCAUAGGAUUCUAUAAGAUUCAUUUUCAUCCUUGAGUUUCAUUGGUUUUUACUUUAGCUUUCUUACGCUUUGACUUUAAUCAUUGUGUGCGUGUGCGUGUGCUUACUAUUGACCACUUGGUGCCAACCAAUAACAACAACCCAGUCAUGACGGUGCUUGUUUCUUUCAGGUUGUCAUGGUUAUAGGAGUUCAUACUUUGGUAUCACACACCAUCCUGGCAUGUCGCAUCAGCAGGAGGUACGGUCUGAGAUCACGGGGUCGCAUCGGUGCCCCGAUUGUGGCAAAAUGUUCAUGACCUCGCGGGCGCGGACUCUCCAUGUCGAAGCUGUUCACCAGCAGCUGGACUUCACCUGUGUCUGUGGGAAGGCCUACAAGUACAGGACUGGCUUGCAGAGACACUUGCGACAGAGCAAACCCUGUGCUCUGACAAUGAACCCCAGCCCGCUAGUUCCUUCCAGUGUUAUGCAUACUGAUUAUCCCACCUCUGUCAUUACAUGGGACCCCACUGAGUAAGGGAUUGAUUUUGCACAUAGGGAAAAAGUUCUAUUUUCUCUGUGGAGGAGUGAGUGAGUGAGUUUGGUUUUACGCUGCUUUUAGCAAUAUUCCAGCAAUAUCACAGCAGGGAACACCAGAAAUGGGCUUCACAAAUUGUACCCAUGUUGGGAAUUGAACCUGGGUCUUCAGCGUUACAAGGGAAGGCUUAUACCACUAGUCUACCCACCGACCUCUCUUUUGAGGAAUUGUUUGUUGUCUCAGUUAAAUGUCUGUCAGGCUGUUUAGUACUGGAGAUACAAGCAUGGACUCUUUGGGAUAUUUAUCUCCAUUUUUAGGAUUAAAAUUGACCCUGUCUGAGCUACCUCAGUUUGGUGUGCAGAGUUGCUUCCCUUGGGCAAGCUAGGAACCUAUGAUCAGUUUGAAUCCCUGUUCACCACAAAUUAUGAUUUUGGGGUUGCAAGCACCAUAUCCAUGCUUGUGGGAUUCAACAUGUAGUAAACAUCCGAGAAAUGUUUCAUUGAAAUGGUUUGAAUUCCUUUAAAAAUGAAUUCCUUUCUGACCCUGACUUACUUUUGUCUGUCAGAAAAAUCUUAACAUGUGGAAAUAAAACUCGCAGACCUUACUUGUCAGUUAAAAUUCUGCCACAACAUGGAUAUUUCAAGGUUUUCAAGGAUACACUGAGGAACAGUGAAUGUUGUGUUGUGAACAUUGUGUGUUGUUAGGAAAAUAUUGUCAUUGCUGAAAGGUGACUCUUAGCAAUUUUAUGCAGGAAUGCAUUUUGAGAAGCUGCAAGUGAACUUUUGUUUAGGAUAGGAAGACAUUUGUUGAACCUGAACACAUACCUAUGCCGCAUCCACGUUACAUAUUAUUUCCUAAAAGUAGUUUAGAAGUUAAAAUAAAAACAUGUUGAUACACUUAUUAUUUAAGUUACUGAAAUAACUAUUUUCAGUGGAAGAGCCCUUUUAUUUGUCUCAAUGUUAUUUUCUUUCUUCCUUUUAAGAUGCUAUUAUUCACAUUUAAGGAAAUGGAAAACUGAUAAAAGACCGUCUUUAUCUCUGUUCAUAUUUCCUUGAUUAUAAAGAAUGUUUUGUUGUGUCAUCAUUAGAUAUAUUUAUUUGAGUUAAAAUUGUCAAAUUAAGAAACUGGAAAGAAAUGUUCCACAGAUAAAAGCAACAUAUAGGUCUCUGAAUGUAUACAGUGUAUAUUUCUUAUUUUCCCUGGAAUGGGACACAUUAUAACAGAAAGUCAUUGUCUAUUUUCCAGCUGUAUUGGGUGUGAUGUGUGUUGAAUACCCCAUUGUGUAAAUGAUUGUGGUCAUCUGUCAAGAAUUUGUUUCAAUUUGAUUCCAUUUUAAUUCAAAUUGUAUCAAGACUGGACCAAACUUGGAGAAUGUGUAACUUUUCAUUCCUUGAUAGGCUUGUAUGGCGAUAUUUUUUGUUUCGUUUUUUUCAGUGAAAUACCAUUAAGGAAUUAUUCAUAUUGCCUGUGCAUACACACACGUCAGUAAUGUACGUCAAGGAAAUGUUGUCUCGGUUUGCUAAAAUAAUGUUUGAGAUGAUAUACUCCCCAGGGAGUUGAGAUUGAUAACACGAUGUGCAGUUGAGACUGACAUCCAAUGAUCGAGGGAAAAAAUACCAGCGCCUUGAGCAAGCACUAGUUGCCUGGAUAUGUGCGCUAUAUAAAUAUCCUAUAAUAAUAAUAAUAAUAAUAAUAUACAACUCAGUAUUUGAUAGGGAUAAUCAGGUUUGUUGUUCUAUUCGAAUGUACACUUAACAUUCUGAGGGUUAGUUUGUGUCCUUGAGGAAAUAUACUCCUGUCAAAAGUAGGACGAACACACAAGACGAUGCAAAAUACAAAACUGCAUGUCCUUGAAAAAAUGAUCUUGCUGCGCAAUGUGCGACAUGAUUGAAGUCUUAUGACUGGGGAAGUUAGCUCAAACUCGAUAACAUUUCCAGAAGACAUGAUAUGUGUUUUCUAAAUGUCUGAUUGUGGUAGACAUAAGAAUACAAGGAUGUAUAUAUUCAGAGAGAACCAUUUUCAGGUUCAGUUUCCAUGAGACAUACUGAUCAGUUUCUGUGUAUAUGAUGUCAUCAGACAUGAGGACAGUGUGUUGAGGGAUUCAUCAGCAUUGGGAUCCUGUGUCCCUGAUCUGUUUGUAUGUUCGAAACCUUUUCACGAUGACAUUGUGUUUAUAAUAAAGAAAUUCAACCAGA
RNA transcript from Haliotis rubra (blacklip abalone), 5645 nucleotides. It is a transcript of the gene named zinc finger protein 37-like, with no coding region annotated. The transcript is spliced from 3 exons. Lineage: Eukaryota; Metazoa; Mollusca; Gastropoda; Lepetellida; Haliotidae. The record is from RefSeq and is a predicted model, not a curated record.